Molecule: transfer RNA, 66 nt
Filed under: Augomonoctenus smithi
Lineage: Eukaryota; Metazoa; Arthropoda; Insecta; Hymenoptera; Diprionidae
Description: tRNA-Ala
Source: RNAcentral
AGGAUAAUAGUUAAUUUCAUAACAUUUGAUCUGCAUUCAAAAAUAAUUAAAAAUUUAAUUUAUCUU